This 207-nucleotide ribosomal RNA is filed under the name uncultured bacterium. RNAcentral describes it as "partial 16S ribosomal RNA". It matches the Rfam family "Bacterial small subunit ribosomal RNA", at positions 1294 to 1500 of the family's 1533-position model. The record is from RNAcentral.
CGGAUUGUAGUCUGCAACCCGACUACAUGAAGCUGGAAUCGCUAGUAAUCGCGGAUCAGAAUGCCGCGGUGAAUACGUUCCCGGGUCUUGUACACACCGCCCGUCACACCAUGGGAGUCGGAAAUGCCCGAAGUCUGUGACCCAACCUUAGGGAGGGAGCAGCCGAAGGCAGGUCGGAUGACUGGGGUGAAGUCGUAACAAGGUACC